AGAGUUUGAUCCUGGCUCAGGACGAACGCUGGCGGCACGCUUAACACAUGCAAGUCGAACGAGAGAAGAGGAGCUUGCUUUUCUGAUCUAGUGGCGGACGGGUGAGUAACACGUGAGCAAUCUGCCUUUCAGAGGGGGAUACCGAUUGGAAACGAUCGUUAAUACCGCAUAACAUAAUUGAACCGCAUGAUUUGAUUAUCAAAGAUUUAUCGCUGAAAGAUGAGCUCGCGUCUGAUUAGCUAGUUGGUAAGGUAACGGCUUACCAAGGCGACGAUCAGUAGCCGGACUGAGAGGUUGAUCGGCCACAUUGGGACUGAGACACGGCCCAGACUCCUACGGGAGGCAGCAGUGGGGAAUAUUGCACAAUGGAGGAAACUCUGAUGCAGCGAUGCCGCGUGAGGGAAGAAGGUUUUAGGAUUGUAAACCUCUGUCUUCAGGGACGAAAAAAGACGGUACCUGAGGAGGAAGCUCCGGCUAACUACGUGCCAGCAGCCGCGGUAAUACGUAGGGAGCGAGCGUUGUCCGGAAUUACUGGGUGUAAAGGGAGCGUAGGCGGGAUCGCAAGUCAGAUGUGAAAACUAUGGGCUUAACCCAUAAACUGCAUUUGAAACUGUGGUUCUUGAGUGAAGUAGAGGUAAGCGGAAUUCCUAGUGUAGCGGUGAAAUGCGUAGAUAUUAGGAGGAACAUCAGUGGCGAAGGCGGCUUACUGGGCUUUAACUGACGCUGAGGCUCGAAAGCGUGGGUAGCAAACAGGAUUAGAUACCCUGGUAGUCCACGCCGUAAACGAUGAUUACUAGGUGUGGGGGGACUGACCCCUUCCGUGCCGCAGCAAACGCAAUAAGUAAUCCACCUGGGGAGUACGACCGCAAGGUUGAAACUCAAAGGAAUUGACGGGGGCCCGCACAAGCAGUGGAGUAUGUGGAUUAAUUCGAAGCAACGCGAAGAGCCUUACCAGGUCUUGACAUCGUAUGCAUAGCUCAGAGAUGAGUGAAAUCUCUUCGGAGACAUAUAGACAGGUGGUGCAUGGUUGUCGUCAGCUCGUGUCGUGAGAUGUUGGGUUAAGUCCCGCAACGAGCGCAACCCUUACUGUUAGUUGCUACGCAAGAGCACUCUAGCAGGACUGCCGUUGACAAAACGGAGGAAGGUGGGGAUGACGUCAAAUCAUCAUGCCCCUUAUGACCUGGGCCUCACACGUACUACAAUGGCUGUCAACAGAGGGAAGCAAAGCCGCGAGGUGGAGCGAACCCCUAAAAGCAGUCUUAGUUCGGAUUGUAGGCUGCAACCCGCCUACAUGAAGUCGGAAUUGCUAGUAAUCGCAGAUCAGCAUGCUGCGGUGAAUACGUUCCCGGGCCUUGUACACACCGCCCGUCACGCCAUGGGAGUCGGUAACACCCGAAGCCUGUAGUCUAACCGCAAGGAGGACGCAGUCGAAGGUGGGAUUGAUGACUGGGGUGAAGUCGUAACAAGGUA
RNAcentral lists this ribosomal RNA (1470 nucleotides) under metagenome. RNAcentral describes it as "bacterial SSU rRNA". It matches the Rfam family "Bacterial small subunit ribosomal RNA". The record is from RNAcentral.